GGCGGACGGGUGAGUAACGCGUGGACAAUCUGCCGCGCACAGGGGAAUAACUUCUCGAGAAGGCCGCUAAUGCCCGCAUAUGCGCGCAGCGGGGCGUGAGGCAGCGCGGAAAGCAAUUUGCGGUGCGGCGAUGAGUCCGCGUCCGAUUAGGCAGUUGGCGGGGUGACGGCCCACCAAACCGACGAUCGGUAGCCGGCCUGAGAGGGCGGACGGCCACACUGGGACUGAGACACGGCCCAGACUCCUGCGGGAGGCAGCAGUGGGGAAUAUUGCACAAUGGGGGAAACCCUGAUGCGGCGACGCCGCAUGAAGGAAGAAGUAUCUCGGUAUGUAAACUUCUAUCGGCAGGGAAGAAAACGGACGGUACCUGACUAAGAAGCCCCGGCUAACUACGUGCCAGCAGCCGCGGUAAUACGUAGGGGGCGAGCGUUAUCCGGAUUUACUGGGUGUAAAGGGAGCGUAGACGGCUGGGCAAGCCUGAUGUGAAAGGCGGGGGCGCAACCCUCGGACUGCAUUGGGAACUGUCCGGCUGGAGCGCCGGAGGGGUAAGCGGAAUUCCUGGUGUAGCGGUGAAAUGCGUAGAUAUCAGAAAGAACACCGGUGGCGAAGGCGGCUUACUGGACGGCGACUGACGUUGAUGCUCGAAAGCGUGGGG
This 655-nucleotide ribosomal RNA is filed under the name uncultured bacterium. RNAcentral describes it as "bacterial SSU rRNA". It matches the Rfam family "Bacterial small subunit ribosomal RNA", at positions 97 to 766 of the family's 1533-position model. The record is from RNAcentral.